AUGGCCGUCCUCGCCAGGCGCUGGGUUCGCAUCCCACGCAAGCUGUCGGCGCUUGACUUCAGGGUGAGCGACAUACUCCCGCCGGAGUAUGAACGGACCAUUGCCCUUCGCCAACACAACAUACCGCAUGACGCCACUUUGGCCGGGGCACUCGACGGUCUCAAGGCACGAUGUGAGAUCGACACAAUAAGGUCAUUCGCCAACGGAAUCACGAGCUUCUUGGAAGCGGACAGUGGCCAUGACCGGCGCGUGAAGACCCUCCGUCUCGAGUUUUUUCAGACAUACAACAGCAUCUGUGUGGACCGCCUGAUCAAUGCUGCGGUCGGCACAUGGGGGGUGGAAGAUCUGGAGGUUGUCGUCAGGCAAUCAUCCGGUUAUGAUCAGACGCGGACAUACAACUUCCCCCACAGCUGCCUCAACCUCCGUCUUGCCUUCGCAGACUAA
RNAcentral lists this ribosomal RNA (444 nucleotides) under Triticum aestivum (bread wheat). RNAcentral's name for it is "partial small subunit ribosomal RNA". Lineage: Eukaryota; Viridiplantae; Streptophyta; Magnoliopsida; Poales; Poaceae. The record is from RNAcentral.